This 470-nucleotide ribosomal RNA is filed under the name uncultured beta proteobacterium. Its description in RNAcentral is "bacterial SSU rRNA". It matches the Rfam family "Bacterial small subunit ribosomal RNA", at positions 198 to 650 of the family's 1533-position model. The record is from RNAcentral. Lineage: Bacteria; Pseudomonadati; Pseudomonadota; Betaproteobacteria.
GGAGGAAAGCAGGGGAUCGUAAGACCUCGCGUUAUUCGAGCGGCCGACGUCGGAUUAGCUAGUUGGUGGGGCAAAGGCCCACCAAGGCGACGAUCCGUAGCGGGUCUGAGAGGAUGAUCCGCCACACUGGGACUGAGACACGGCCCAGACUCCUACGGGAGGCAGCAGUGGGGAAUUUUGGACAAUGGGCGCAAGCCUGAUCCAGCCAUGCCGCGUGUCUGAAGAAGGCCUUCGGGUUGUAAAGGACUUUUGUCGGGGAGCAAAUCCUGGUGGCUAAUACCCGCCGGGGCUGAGUGUACCCGAAGAAUAAGCACCGGCUAACUACGUGCCAGCAGCCGCGGUAAUACGUAGGGUGCAAGCGUUAAUCGGAAUUACUGGGCGUAAAGCGUGCGCAGGCGGUUGGGCAAGUCUGAUGAGAGAUCCCCGAGCUUAACUUGGGAACUGCGUUUGAAAUACAGAGCUAGAAGGGC